AGUGAACGCUGGCGGUAGGCCUAACACAUGCAAGUCGAACGGCAGCACAGUAAGAGCUUGCUCUUACGGGUGGCGAGUGGCGGACGGGUGAGGAAUACAUCGGAAUCUACUUUUUCGUGGGGGAUAACGUAGGGAAACUUACGCUAAUACCGCAUACGACCUACGGGUGAAAGCAGGGGAUCUUCGGACCUUGCGCGAUUGAAUGAGCCGAUGUCGGAUUAGCUAGUUGGCGGGGUAAAGGCCCACCAAGGCGACGAUCCGUAGCUGGUCUGAGAGGAUGAGCAGCCACACUGGAACUGAGACACGGUCCAGACUCCUACGGGAGGCAGCAGUGGGGAAUAUUGGACAAUAGGCGCAAGCCUGAUCCAGCCAUACCGCGUGGGUGAAGAAGGCCGUCGGGUUGUAAAGCCCUUUUGUUGGGAAAGAAAAGCAGCAGGUUAAUACCCCGCUGUUCUGACGGUACCCAAAGAAUAAGCACCGGCUAACUUCGUGC
Molecule: ribosomal RNA, 493 nt
Filed under: uncultured bacterium
Lineage: Bacteria
Description: partial 16S ribosomal RNA
Rfam family: Bacterial small subunit ribosomal RNA
Source: RNAcentral